This 332-nucleotide ribosomal RNA is filed under the name uncultured bacterium. Its description in RNAcentral is "bacterial SSU rRNA". It matches the Rfam family "Bacterial small subunit ribosomal RNA", at positions 568 to 898 of the family's 1533-position model. The record is from RNAcentral.
UGCGUAGGCGGUGCACCAAGUCGGGUGUGAAAUCCCUCGGCUUAACCGAGGAAUGGCAUUCGAUACUAGUGCGCUAGAGGGUAAAAGGGGCAAGCGGAAUUCUAGGUGUAGCGGUGGAAUGCGUAGAUAUCUGGGAGAACGCCGAGGGCGAAGGCAGCUUGCUGGGUUACUUCUGACGCUGAGGCACGAAAGCUAGGGGAGCAAACAGGAUUAGAUACCCUGGUAGUCCUAGCCGUAAACGAUGAGCGCUUUGUUCCGGAAGGCCUGAUCCUUUCGGAGCCGUAGCUAAUGUGUUAAGCGCUCCGCCUGGGGAGUAUGGUCGCAAGGCUAAA